UAGGGAAUCUUCGGCAAUGGACGAAAGUCUGACCGAGCAACGCCGCGUGGGUGAAGAAGGUUUUCGGAUCGUAAAACUCUGUUGGUAGAGAAGAACGUUGGUGAGAGUGGAAAGCUCAUCAAGUGACGGUAACUACCCAGAAAGGGACGGCUAACUACGUACCAG
This 165-nucleotide ribosomal RNA is filed under the name uncultured bacterium. RNAcentral's name for it is "partial 16S ribosomal RNA". It matches the Rfam family "Bacterial small subunit ribosomal RNA", at positions 355 to 511 of the family's 1533-position model. The record is from RNAcentral.